Strongylocentrotus purpuratus (purple sea urchin) is the source of this 399-nucleotide long non-coding RNA. RefSeq lists it as uncharacterized. The transcript has 3 exons. The record is from RefSeq and is a predicted model, not a curated record. NCBI's taxonomy places the organism in Eukaryota, Metazoa, Echinodermata, Echinoidea, Camarodonta, Strongylocentrotidae.
UUUAAAUCCUUACUUUCUUGGAGUGUUUUUUAAUCAAAGCAAUUAUUUAUUUUCUUCUUUUGGUGUGUGUGCAGGACUCUUGGGACUCGUGCCUUUUGGAAUGCAGCGAUUUCUCUGGUUGUAUGGACUGUGACUCACCAUGUGCAAACUCUACAGACUACACGCCAACAAUGACCUCAAACUUGACCCAUCCAGAUCACAUGACCCUGCAAUGGUCAGCCGGAAGUGAAAACAUCAGUACAGUAUACAUUCUUGAACAAGAGUCGACAGAUCAAGGCUGGCAUCUUCUUAACAUGGUAUUAAUGCAUGUCUUCAUUUCUAAUAAUGUAUUAGAUUUAUUUAAAUCAUAUCUACAUUGAUAUAAGACAGGCAUACUUAGUAUAAAGCCAGGUUUUUGUU